This 211-nucleotide non-coding RNA is filed under the name Lutibacter flavus. The record is from RNAcentral. Lineage: Bacteria; Pseudomonadati; Bacteroidota; Flavobacteriia; Flavobacteriales; Flavobacteriaceae.
AAUUUCGCAGCUGAUUAUGGUUCCUACACUAUACUUCAGUAUAGAUUAAGUGAAAAGGGAAGUUGGUUAAACUCCAACGCUGUACCCGCAACUGUACGCUUUGUCGAUUUUGUUCGAUGGUUGUUAUUACUCUUUAACCACUGUUCUUUAAGAAUGGGAAGGUAAAUAACAAUACGCAAGCCAGGAGACCUGCCAAAAUCUUUAUAGUUCA